Molecule: long non-coding RNA, 416 nt
Filed under: Rosa chinensis
Lineage: Eukaryota; Viridiplantae; Streptophyta; Magnoliopsida; Rosales; Rosaceae
Description: sRNA RchiOBHm_Chr2g0162911
Source: RNAcentral
CGCAAGCGUACAGGCACGCGCCACAUUACCGAAGGGGAGAAUUCUCUUCGUAGGAUAAAACCCCAACCACAAACUUUAAUUUUACCUUUUAACCCAAAUCACAGCACCAAAUCCACGGCUACGCCGCACCGUACUACGUGUCGAAUUCUCAUUGGUUAAGAAACUACCGCAAAGUUCACUCUGUUGGUUACCCAAUCCCUGCAGGGUGCAGACGAUAUAAAGUUACAAACGAGAAACGGAGACCCACUGCUCUCGGUUACUCAGCAGUGACUUCGUGCUCUCUCCUUUUCUCUCUCUCUCUCUGAAGAGCGUAGCCGGCGGCUACCGGAGAUCGGAUACUCGCCGGAGACAGAAUCGGAACUGUACGGAUUCGGCGAAUCGUCGCGACCACAGAGGACGAAGAACCCGGAGAAAGA